GUGGGGAAUAUUGGGCAAUGGGGGCAACCCUGACCCAGCGACGCCGCGUGAGGGAAGAAGGCCUUAGGGUCGUAAACCUCUGUUGUGUGGGAAGAAGGAAGUGACGGUACCACACGAGGAAGUCCCGGCUAACUACGUGCCAGCAGCCGCGGUAAUACGUAGGGGACGAGCGUUGUCCGGAAUUACUGGGCGUAAAGGGCGCGUAGGCGGUCAUUUAAGUCAGCUGUGAAAUGGUCCGGCUCAACCGGAUCAUGCGGUUGAAACUGGAUGACUGGAGUGCUGGAGAGGCAAGUGGAAUUCCCAGUGUAGCGGUGAAAUGCGUAGAUAUUGGGAAGAACACCGGUGGCGAAGGCGACUUUCUGGACGAUGUCUGACGCUGAGGCGCGAAAGCUAGGGGAGCGAACGGGAUUAGAAACCCGAGUAGUCC
Molecule: ribosomal RNA, 427 nt
Filed under: uncultured bacterium
Lineage: Bacteria
Description: partial 16S ribosomal RNA
Rfam family: Bacterial small subunit ribosomal RNA
Source: RNAcentral